AUGAUCGACGGCGACGAACCACCGCGCCGGCCAGUGUCUUUCCCCUGCCCCUCUGCUCCGCGCCAGAUCCUUCCCUUUCCCCUUCUUUCUUCCGCGCCCACCGACGUGCUACCGCGCCGCGGGAGCAGUUUCCUCCUCUCAUCGCUCGCUCUGUCUCGCGGCGGAUCGACUUCUGUGCCGGCGAGCCGGCGACGGCGUCGGACGCGACCGCGCCGUGCCACUCUUUCCCCUUCCCCUUUCUUUUCUCCAGUCCGCCGAGCCACGAAGAGUGAGAGAGCGCGAGCCGAGCCCACCUCUGCUCCCCCUUGGACGACGACGGCGGAGCAUGCGCCGUUGCCUUCCCCUUCGCCGGCCGCGCGUUCGCCUCGCGGUGAGCGCGUUGCCGUCGAACGGGUUGGCCGCGGUGCUCUUUGCCCCUUUCGGGGUAGGUUCUUCGUCCGACGCCUCGGCUUGCCGAUGCGCGGCCGGAUCGAGAGGAACAGGUGCGGCCAUGACGGCGGCGCUCUUUGCCGGCGGGCCCAAGGCCCUCUCCGGUGA
RNAcentral lists this ribosomal RNA (537 nucleotides) under Triticum aestivum (bread wheat). RNAcentral's name for it is "partial small subunit ribosomal RNA". The record is from RNAcentral. Lineage: Eukaryota; Viridiplantae; Streptophyta; Magnoliopsida; Poales; Poaceae.